Molecule: ribosomal RNA, 92 nt
Filed under: Nomascus leucogenys (northern white-cheeked gibbon)
Lineage: Eukaryota; Metazoa; Chordata; Mammalia; Primates; Hylobatidae
Source: RNAcentral
AUCUACCGCCAUACCAGCCUGAACGUGCCCAAUUUUGUCUGAUCUCUGAAGCUAAGCAGGGUCGGGCCUGGUUAGUACUUGGGUGGGAGAAA